UUUUUACUCCCUCCGUCCCAAAAUUCUUGUCUUAGAUUUGUCUAAAUACGAAUGUAUCAAGUCACAUUUUAGUAUUAGAUACAUUCGUAUCUAGACGAAUCUUAGACAAGAAUUUUAGGACGUAGGGAGUUUUUU
Triticum aestivum (bread wheat) is the source of this 135-nucleotide non-coding RNA. Lineage: Eukaryota; Viridiplantae; Streptophyta; Magnoliopsida; Poales; Poaceae. The record is from Rfam.